CAGUCGCCACGGGAAUACGUAGGGUGCAAGCGUCAAUCGGAAUUACUGGGCGUAAAGCGUGCGCAGGCGGUUCGCUAAGACAGAUGUGAAAUCCCCGGGCUUAACCUGGGAACUGCAUUUGUGACUGGCGGGCUAGAGUAUGGCAGAGGGGGGUAGAAUUCCACGUGUAGCAGUGAAAUGCGUAGAGACGUGGAGGAAUACCGAUGGCGAAGGCAGCCCCCUGGGCCAAUACUGACGCUCAUGCACGAAAGCGUGGGGAGCAAACAGGAUUAGAUACCCGGUAGUCCCUGUCUCUUAUACA
Molecule: ribosomal RNA, 301 nt
Filed under: uncultured bacterium
Lineage: Bacteria
Description: partial 16S ribosomal RNA
Rfam family: Bacterial small subunit ribosomal RNA
Source: RNAcentral